AGACUCAUUUAACAGGAAAGACAGCAUGAUCACAAAGGUGAUUUUCCCAGGGCAAAGCUUAUCCAUUGUGCUCCACAUGUGCUGACCCCUGUGAUUUUCCCAAAUGUGAUAAACUCAACUGCAUAAUUGUGGCAGUAGGGAGCAGCAUUUACAAUUUCCCCUAG
Cebus imitator (Panamanian white-faced capuchin) is the source of this 164-nucleotide small nuclear RNA. Its record names the gene U1. It matches the Rfam family "U1 spliceosomal RNA". Rfam says of the family: U1 is a small nuclear RNA (snRNA) component of the spliceosome (involved in pre-mRNA splicing). Its 5' end forms complementary base pairs with the 5' splice junction, thus defining the 5' donor site of an intron. NCBI's taxonomy places the organism in Eukaryota, Metazoa, Chordata, Mammalia, Primates, Cebidae. The record is from Ensembl.